AACGAACGCUGGCGGCAUGCCUAACACAUGCAAGUCGAACGAGACCUUCGGGUCUAGUGGCGCACGGGUGCGUAACGCGUGGGAACCUGCCCUUAGGUUCGGAAUAACUCCCCGAAAGGGGUGCUAAUACCGGAUAAUGUCUUCGGACCAAAGAUUUAUCGCCUUUGGAUGGGCCCGCGUUGGAUUAGCUAGUUGGUAGGGUAAAAGCCUACCAAGGCGACGAUCCAUAGCUGGUCUGAGAGGAUGAUCAGCCACACUGGGACUGAGACACGGCCCAGACUCCUACGAGAGGCAGCAGUGGGGAAUAUUGGAAAAUGGGCGAAAGCCUGAUCCAGCAAUGCCGCGUGAGUGAUGAAGGCCUUAGGGUUGUAAAGCUCUUUUACCCGGGAUGAUAAUGACAGUACCGGGAGAAUAAGCUCCGGCUAACUACGUG
Molecule: ribosomal RNA, 433 nt
Filed under: uncultured bacterium
Lineage: Bacteria
Description: partial 16S ribosomal RNA
Rfam family: Bacterial small subunit ribosomal RNA
Source: RNAcentral